This is a small RNA of Micromonospora sp. CB01531, 67 nucleotides long. It matches the Rfam family "Transposase-2 RNA". The record is from Rfam. NCBI's taxonomy places the organism in Bacteria, Bacillati, Actinomycetota, Actinomycetes, Micromonosporales, Micromonosporaceae.
GAAGCGUCAACCCGGCACCACCCAGGCGGGUAAGACCGGGACCGUCCCACCGCCAGGCGGGACUGCC